AGAGUUUGAUCCUGGCUCAGAACGAACGCUGGCGGCAUGCCUAAAACAUGCAAGUCGAACGGUGGUUUCCAGCUUGCUGGGGGCCAUAGUGGCGCACGGGUGAGGAGCGCGUGGGAACCUGCCUUUUGGUACGGAAUAGCUUCGGGAAACUGGGGAUAAUACCGUAUGGUACCGUCAGCUGUGGAGGUUGAUGGUUAAAGAUUUAUCGCCAAAAGAGGGGCCCGCGUCGGAUUAGCUAGUUGGUUGGGUAAUGGCUGACCAAGGCGAUGAUCCGUAGCUGGUCUGAGAGGAUGAUCAGCCACACUGGGACUGAGACACGGCCCAGACUCCUACGGGAGGCAGCAGUAGGGAAUAUUGGACAAUGGGGGCAACCCUGAUCCAGCAAUGCCGCGUGAGUGAUGAAGGCCUUAGGGUUGUAAAGCUCUUUCGCACGCGACGAU
Molecule: ribosomal RNA, 440 nt
Filed under: uncultured bacterium
Lineage: Bacteria
Description: bacterial SSU rRNA
Rfam family: Bacterial small subunit ribosomal RNA
Source: RNAcentral